RNAcentral lists this ribosomal RNA (253 nucleotides) under uncultured bacterium. RNAcentral describes it as "partial 16S ribosomal RNA". It matches the Rfam family "Bacterial small subunit ribosomal RNA", at positions 524 to 776 of the family's 1533-position model. The record is from RNAcentral.
UACGUAGGGUGCGAGCGUUGUCCGGAAUUACUGGGCGUAAAGAGCUCGUAGGUGGUUUGUCGCGUUGUCCGUGAAAACUCACAACUCAAUUGUGGGCGUGCGGGCGAUACGGGCAGACUGGAGUACUGCAGGGGAGACUGGAAUUCCUGGUGUAGCGGUGGAAUGCGCAGAUAUCAGGAGGAAUACCGGUGGCGAAGGCGGCAUCCUGGACCGACAUUGACGCUGAGGAGCGAAAGCUAGGGGAGCAAACGGG